This 429-nucleotide ribosomal RNA is filed under the name Acidobacteriota bacterium. RNAcentral's name for it is "Acidobacteria bacterium partial 16S ribosomal RNA". It matches the Rfam family "Bacterial small subunit ribosomal RNA", at positions 355 to 776 of the family's 1533-position model. Lineage: Bacteria; Pseudomonadati; Acidobacteriota. The record is from RNAcentral. RNAcentral also lists the same sequence under 2 other names.
UGGGGAAUAUUGCACAAUGGGGGAAACCCUGAUGCAGCCAUGCCGCGUGUGUGAAGAAGGCCUUCGGGUUGUAAAGCACUUUCAGUAGGGAGGAAAGGGUGAGUCUUAAUACGGCUCAUCUGUGACGUUACCUACAGAAGAAGGACCGGCUAACUCCGUGCCAGCAGCCGCGGUAAUACGGAGGGUCCGAGCGUUAAUCGGAAUUACUGGGCGUAAAGCGUGCGCAGGCGGUUUGUUAAGCGAGAUGUGAAAGCCCUGGGCUCAACCUAGGAAUAGCAUUUCGAACUGGCGAACUAGAGUCUUGUAGAGGGGGGUAGAAUUCCAGGUGUAGCGGUGAAAUGCGUAGAGAUCUGGAGGAAUACCGGUGGCGAAGGCGGCCCCCUGGACAAAGACUGACGCUCAUGCACGAAAGCGUGGGGAGCAAACAGG